GAAGUCUGUAGCUCAGUGGUUGGGCACAUGCUCUGCGUGCAAAAGAUGCCAGGUUCAAUUCCUGGCAUCUUCA
This is a non-coding RNA of Podarcis lilfordi (Lilford's wall lizard), 73 nucleotides long. The record is from the annotation of a GenBank genome assembly. NCBI's taxonomy places the organism in Eukaryota, Metazoa, Chordata, Lepidosauria, Squamata, Lacertidae.